RNAcentral lists this ribosomal RNA (313 nucleotides) under Staphylococcus epidermidis NIHLM023. Its description in RNAcentral is "bacterial SSU rRNA". It matches the Rfam family "Bacterial small subunit ribosomal RNA", at positions 1 to 301 of the family's 1533-position model. Lineage: Bacteria; Bacillati; Bacillota; Bacilli; Caryophanales; Staphylococcaceae. The record is from RNAcentral.
UUUUUAUGGAGAGUUUGAUCCUGGCUCAGGAUGAACGCUGGCGGCGUGCCUAAUACAUGCAAGUCGAGCGAACAGACGAGGAGCUUGCUCCUCUGACGUUAGCGGCGGACGGGUGAGUAACACGUGGAUAACCUACCUAUAAGACUGGGAUAACUUCGGGAAACCGGAGCUAAUACCGGAUAAUAUAUUGAAUCGCAUGGUUCAAUAGUGAAAGACGGUUUUGCUGUCACUUAUAGAUGGAUCCGCGCCGCAUUAGCUAGUUGGUAAGGUAACGGCUUACCAAGGCAACGAUGCGUAGCCGACCUGAGAGGGU